RNAcentral lists this ribosomal RNA (301 nucleotides) under uncultured bacterium. RNAcentral's name for it is "partial 16S ribosomal RNA". It matches the Rfam family "Bacterial small subunit ribosomal RNA", at positions 509 to 807 of the family's 1533-position model. The record is from RNAcentral.
CAGCAGCCACGGUAAUACAGAGGGUGCGAGCGUUAAUCGGAUUUACUGGGCGUAAAGCGUGCGUAGGCGGCUUCUUAAGUCGGAUGUGAAAUCCCUGAGCUUAACUUAGGAAUUGAAUUCGAUACUGGGAAGCUAGAGUAUGGGAGAGGAUGGUAGAAUUCCAGGUGUAGCGGUGAAAUGCGUAGAGAUCUGGAGGAAUACCGAUGGCGAAGGCAGCCAUCUGGCCUAAUACUGACGCUGAGGUACGAAAGCAUGGGGAGCAAACAGGAUUAGAUACCCGCGUAGUCCCUGUCUCUUAUAC